RNAcentral lists this ribosomal RNA (440 nucleotides) under uncultured bacterium. RNAcentral's name for it is "partial 16S ribosomal RNA". It matches the Rfam family "Bacterial small subunit ribosomal RNA", at positions 338 to 795 of the family's 1533-position model. The record is from RNAcentral.
CCUACGGGAGGCAGCAGUAGGGAAUAUUGCUCAAUGGGGGCAACCCUGAAGCAGCAACGCCGCGUGGAGGAUGAAGGUUCUCGGAUUGUAAACUCCUUUUGUUAGAGAAGAUAAUGACGGUAUCCAACGAAUACGCACCGGCUAACUCCGUGCCAGCAGCCGCGGUUAUACGGCGGGUGCAAGCGUUACUCGGAAUCACUGGGCGUAAAGAGCGCGUAGGCGGGUUAGCAAGUCAGAUGUUAAAUCCUAUGGGUUAACCAUAGAACUGCAUUUGAAACUGGUAUUCUAGAGUAAGGGAGAGGUAGGUGGAAUGCGUGGUGUAGGGGUAAAAUCCGUAGAGAUCAAGAAGAAUACUCAUUGCGAAGGCGACCUGCUAGAACAUAACUGACGCUGAUGCGCGAAAGCGUGGGGAGCAAACAGGAUUAGAUACCCGAGUAGUC